This 957-nucleotide long non-coding RNA is filed under the name Arabidopsis lyrata. Its description in RNAcentral is "long non-coding RNA (ALYR_LNC002076)". Lineage: Eukaryota; Viridiplantae; Streptophyta; Magnoliopsida; Brassicales; Brassicaceae. The record is from RNAcentral.
CUCGUUGGAGGUGUUACCAAUCUUGUGAGUGGAGCAUCAAGCAGCACCGUGGCAAGCCGAGACCUUCCAGUAUCUACAGACAAUCAGGUCACAGAUUUAUGCAAAACCCUAUUUUCUUAAAACCCUUUAAAAGAAAAAUUAAGUUUAUUGUCUCUUAUACCAAAAGAUUGUAAUUCUCAUCAUGUUUUAACAAUUGAAUAUAUGCGUUUUGCAGCCUCUGCUAGCGUCUGGCGAAAAAACACCGUGGUGGAAGAAUUGUUGUGGAGUUCUUGAUUUUUUCAAGAAAGAUACUUAAGAUAAAAAGAUCCAAAAAUGACAAAUUAACGAGUUUCACAAGAUGAAGAAACAGAGCACUAGAAGAAGAAAGAACCCCCAUCCUUUUGAUUAUUUAUUUCCUUCCUUUUGAUUUUGAUUUUGAUUUGAGAUUGUGUCUAUCUGUUUUUGUUUGUUUUAUGUUUUGUUGAUAUCUUGAUUGUUUCCCAAGAACUUGUGUAAGAACCCAAAAAAAAAAGACAAAUAAAAAGGUAAAUUUCUUUGUGAUGAGUGUUGGAUUCUAAGACCAUCUUUAUUGGUGGUCUCUUAACACAACUCUUAAGUUAAGAGAUAUGUCUUAUAACUAACAAAAGUCUCUUAAAGUCUCUUAGCUAAGAGACUUUUGUUAGUUAUAAGACAUAUCUCUUAGCUUAAGAGUUGUCCUAAGAGACCAUUGAUAAUGUUGCUCAAUGAGCUUCAAAAGCUAAUCACAACAAGUUUCUCUAGUCUAAAACGAAACAAGACUUCGUAAAAAAAAAACUUAAGCUCCUGUUUCAUGAAGACCUACCUCAAAUUCUGAUCUUCUUCUCUGACUCUUUCAACGCCUCUUCCACCAUACUCAUCUUUUUCUCCAAUUGAUGCUCCACUGUGGGAGAAGUUGUCAAUCUACUAUUUACUAUUUCGCCAAUUAUGAAAGGUUUUUUU